CGCGUAGGCGGCCAUUCAAGUCAGGCGUGAAAGCCCCGGGCUCAACCUGGGAACGGCGCUUGGGACUGGAUGGCUGGAGUUCGGGAGAGGAGAGUGGAAUUCCCAGUGUAGAGGUGAAAUUCGUAGAUAUUGGGAAGAACACCGGUGGCGAAGGCGGCUCUCUGGACCGAGACUGACGCUGAGGCGCGAAAGCGUGGGAGCAAACA
Molecule: ribosomal RNA, 206 nt
Filed under: uncultured bacterium
Lineage: Bacteria
Description: partial 16S ribosomal RNA
Rfam family: Bacterial small subunit ribosomal RNA
Source: RNAcentral